UACGUAGGAGGCGAGCGUUGUCCGGAUUUACUGGGCGUAAAGCGCGCGCAGGCGGCACUUCAAGUACGGUGUGAAAUCUCCCUGCUCAACGGGGAGGGUGCAUUGUAAACUGGAGAGCUAGAGGACGGUAGAGGGGGGUAGAAUUGCUGGUGUAGCGGUGAAAUGCGUAGAGAUCAGCAGGAAUACCCGUGGCGAAGGCGGCCCCCUGGGCCGAACCUGACGCUGAGGCGCGAAAGCGUGGGGAGCAAACAGG
This 253-nucleotide ribosomal RNA is filed under the name uncultured bacterium. RNAcentral describes it as "partial 16S ribosomal RNA". It matches the Rfam family "Bacterial small subunit ribosomal RNA", at positions 524 to 776 of the family's 1533-position model. The record is from RNAcentral.